GCUGAAAUAACUCAGUAGGGAGAGCGUUAGACUGAAGAUCUAAAGGUCCCUGGUUCGAUCCCGGGUUUCGGCA
This 73-nucleotide transfer RNA is filed under the name Cordylochernes scorpioides. RNAcentral's name for it is "tRNA-Phe". It matches the Rfam family "tRNA". From Rfam's summary of the family: Transfer RNA (tRNA) molecules are approximately 80 nucleotides in length. Their secondary structure includes four short double-helical elements and three loops (D, anti-codon, and T loops). Further hydrogen bonds mediate the characteristic L-shaped molecular structure. tRNAs have two regions of fundamental functional importance: the anti-codon, which is responsible for specific mRNA codon recognition, and the 3' end, to which the tRNAs corresponding amino acid is attached (by aminoacyl-tRNA synthetases). tRNAs cope with the degeneracy of the genetic code in two manners: having more than one tRNA (with a specific anti-codon) for a particular amino acid; and 'wobble' base-pairing, i.e. permitting non-standard base-pairing at the 3rd anti-codon position. The record is from RNAcentral. Lineage: Eukaryota; Metazoa; Arthropoda; Arachnida; Pseudoscorpiones; Chernetidae.